GUGGGGAAUCUUAGACAAUGGGCGCAAGCCUGAUCUAGCCAUGCCGCGUGGGUGAUGAAGGCCUUAGGGUCGUAAAGCCCUUUCGCCGGGGAAGAUAAUGACGGUACCCGGUAAAGAAACCCCGGCUAACUCCGUGCCAGCAGCCGCGGUAAUACGGAGGGGGUUAGCGUUGUUCGGAAUGACUGGGCGUAAAGCGCGCGUAGGCGGAUCAGGAAGUUGGGGGUGAAAUCCCGGGGCUCAACCCCGGAAUGGCCUUCAAAACUCCUGGUCUUGAGUUCGAGAGAGGUGAGUGGAAUUCCGAGUGUAGAGGUGAAAUUCGUAGAUAUUCGGAGGAACACCAGUGGCGAAGGCGGCUCACUGGCUCGACACUGACGCUGAGGUGCGAAAGCGUGGGGAGCAAACAGG
RNAcentral lists this ribosomal RNA (405 nucleotides) under uncultured Rubellimicrobium sp. RNAcentral's name for it is "bacterial SSU rRNA". It matches the Rfam family "Bacterial small subunit ribosomal RNA", at positions 354 to 776 of the family's 1533-position model. Lineage: Bacteria; Pseudomonadati; Pseudomonadota; Alphaproteobacteria; Rhodobacterales; Roseobacteraceae. The record is from RNAcentral.